Molecule: long non-coding RNA, 686 nt
Organism: Ailuropoda melanoleuca (giant panda)
Lineage: Eukaryota; Metazoa; Chordata; Mammalia; Carnivora; Ursidae
Exons: 3
Source: RefSeq, a predicted model, not a curated record
AAGAUAAAAGGACAAUUGAAAAUACUUUGUCGAGGAGCGCCUGGGUGGCUCAGUCAGUUAAGCGCUGGGCUCUUGAUUCCAGUUCAGGUCAUGAUCUCAGGGUCCUGAGAUCAAGUCCCACACUGGGCUCCCUGCUCAGCAAGGAGUCUGCUUGAGAUCCUCUCUCUUCCUCUCCCUCUGCCCCUCCCCCCACACCCAUGCACUCUCUCUCUCUCUCAAAUAAAUAAAUCUUAAAAAAAAAAAAACUUUCUCAAAAGUUGAAAGGUAAGGGCCCUAUAGUUUAUGUGCUCAUCACUGCUUCCGCUGUAGCCAAAAGGGCCACGUGUGCACGACUGAGCACUUUGGGGGCAGCUAAUGUAAAGGCUCUUUUCCAGAGGUCCUGUGUGUCCGCACUUGCUGUCAGUAUCUCAUCUUUGAACGAGAGGCGAGGAAAAGCACAUCCAUGAGAGAAGCAGAGAUGGGAAAAGGUGUGGUUCUGAUGAUGGUUCAGGAAGGCAAUGCCUUUUCCGUGAGACGAAAUUUUCCAAGUUCCUGGGGAAGAGGGAGCCAUUGGUCUUUGAGAGGAAGAGAGGAGGAAAGGAUGAAGACAAGAGCCAAGUGAAAAAAGCUUUGAGUGCUGUCAUUUUUUGAGGCUGGAGAAGAGGCCAAAUGAACCCUGCAUUUUAAGUCUUAACAAUAAAGCAAUC